Molecule: ribosomal RNA, 376 nt
Filed under: uncultured bacterium
Lineage: Bacteria
Description: partial 16S ribosomal RNA
Rfam family: Bacterial small subunit ribosomal RNA
Source: RNAcentral
CCUACGGGAGGCAGCAGUGGGGAAUAUUGCGCAAUGGGCGAAAGCCUGACGCAGCGACGCCGCGUGAGGGAUGAAGGUCUUCGGAUCGUAAACCUCUGUCAGCAGGGAAGAACGGUCACUGUGCUAAUCAGCAGUGAAUUGACGGUACCUGCAAAGGAAGCACCGGCUAACCCCGUGCCAGCAGCCGCGGUAAUACGGAGGGUGCGAGCGUUAAUCGGAAUUACUGGGCGUAAAGCGCUCGUAGGCGGUAUGUCAAGUCAAGGGUGAAAUCCCCGCGCUCAGCGUGGGAACUGCCUUUGAAACUGGCAAAGUGGAGUGUGUGAGAGGAUAGGGGAAGUCCAGGGGUAGGGGUGAAAGCGGGAGAUAUCUGGAGGAA